GUCGAGGAUCAUUGGCAAUGGGCGCAAGCCUGACCAUGCGACGCUGCGUGGAGGAUGAAGGCCUUCGGGUUGUAAACUCCUGUCAUUUGGGAACAACCGUCCUGCCAUGAAUAGUGGCGGGAUUUGAUGGUACCAGAAGAGGAAGUCACGGCUAACUCUGUGCCAGCAGCCGCGGUGAUACAGAGGUGACGAGCGUUGUUCGGAUUUACUGGGCGUAAAGGGUGCGUAGGCGGUUUCGUAUGUCGGAUGUGAAAUCCCAUGGCUCAACCAUGGAAUUGCAUCUGAAACUGCGGAACUUGAGUACAGGAAGGGAGAGUGGAAUUCCUGGUGUAGCGGUGAAAUGCGUUGAUAUCAGGAGGAACACCGGCGGCGAAGGCGGCUCUCUGGAAUGUUACUGACGCUGAGGCACGAAAGCUGGGGGAGCAAACAGGAUUAGAAACCCUUGUAGUCC
Molecule: ribosomal RNA, 451 nt
Filed under: uncultured bacterium
Lineage: Bacteria
Description: bacterial SSU rRNA
Rfam family: Bacterial small subunit ribosomal RNA
Source: RNAcentral